RNAcentral lists this ribosomal RNA (465 nucleotides) under uncultured bacterium. RNAcentral's name for it is "partial 16S ribosomal RNA". It matches the Rfam family "Bacterial small subunit ribosomal RNA", at positions 338 to 795 of the family's 1533-position model. The record is from RNAcentral.
CCUACGGGUGGCUGCAGUGGGGAAUCUUCCACAAUGGGCUAACGCCUGAUUGAGCAACGCCGCGUGAGUGAAGAAGGUCUUCGGGUCUUAAAACCCUUUUGUUCGGGCAGAAAGUGCGUGAGAGUAACUGUUCACGUUUCGACGCUAUCUAACCAGAAACCCACGACUAACUACGUGCCAUCAGCCGAGUUAAUACGUAGGGAGCAAUCGUUAUCCGGAUUUAUUGGGCGUAAAGGGAACGCAGGAGGGCUUUUAAGUCUGAUGUGAAAGCCGUAGGCUUAAACGGCGUAGUGCAUUGGAAACGGGGAUACUGGAGUGAAGAAGAGGAGUGGGGAAUUCGUGGUGUAGCGGUGAAAUGCGUAGAUAUAUGGAAGAACACCAGUGGCGAAAGCGGCUUUCUGGUCUGUAACUGACGCUGAGGUUCGAAAGCGUGGGUAGCAAACAGGAUUAGAUACCCUUGUAGUC